RNAcentral lists this ribosomal RNA (474 nucleotides) under uncultured eukaryote. RNAcentral's name for it is "SSU rRNA". It matches the Rfam family "Eukaryotic small subunit ribosomal RNA", at positions 682 to 1157 of the family's 1831-position model. The record is from RNAcentral.
UUGGCUGGNCCUUUCCUUCUGCGGAACCGGCAUGCCCCUUCAGUGGGUGUGAUUUCGGGAAGCAGGACUUUUACUUUGAAAAAAUUAGAGUGUUCAAAGCAGGCCUUUGCUCGAAUACAUUAGCAUGGAAUAAUAGAAUAGGACGGCGCUCCUAUUUUGUUGGUUUCUAGGAGAGCCGUAAUGAUUAAUAGGGACAGUUGGGGGCAUCCGUAUUCAGUUGUCAGAGGUGAAAUUCUUGGAUUUACUGAAGACGAACUACUGCGAAAGCAUUUGCCAAAGAUGUUUUCAUUAAUCAGUGAACGAAAGUUAGGGGAUCGAAGACGAUCAGAUACCGUCGUAGUCUUAACCAUAAACUAUGCCGACUAGGGAUCGGGCGAUGUUAUUGUAUUGACUCGCUCGGCACCUUUCGAGAAAUCAAAGUGUUUGGGUUCUGGGGGGAGUAUGGUCGNAAGGCUGAAACUUAAAGAAAUUGAC